This 468-nucleotide ribosomal RNA is filed under the name uncultured bacterium. RNAcentral's name for it is "partial 16S ribosomal RNA". It matches the Rfam family "Bacterial small subunit ribosomal RNA", at positions 28 to 507 of the family's 1533-position model. The record is from RNAcentral.
GACGAACGCUGGCGGCGUGCUUAACACAUGCAAGUCGAACGGAAAGGCCCUGCUUUUGUGGGGUGCUCGAGUGGCGAACGGGUGAGUAACACGUGAGUAACCUGCCCUUGACUUUGGGAUAACUUCAGGAAACUGGGGCUAAUACCGGAUAGGAGCUCCUGCUGCAUGGUGGGGGUUGGAAAGUUUCGGCGGUUGGGGCUGGACUCGCGGCUUAUCAGCUUGUUGGUGGGGUAGUGGCUUACCAAGGCUUUGACGGGUAGCCGGCCUGGGAGGGUGACCGGCCACAUUGGGACUGAGAUACGGCCCAGACUCCUACGGGAGGCAGCAGUGGGGAAUAUUGCACAAUGGGCGGAAGCCUGAUGCAGCAACGCCGCGUGCGGGAUGACGGCCUUCGGGUUGUAAACCGAUUUCGCCUGUGACGAAGCGUGAGUGACGGUAAUGGGUAAAGAAGCACCGGCUAACUACGUG